GAACGCUGGCGGCAGGCCUAACACAUGCAAGUCGAGCGGAUGAAGGGAGCUUGCUCUCUGAUUCAGCGGCGGACGGGUGAGUAAUGCCUAGGAAUCUGCCUGGUAGUGGGGGACAACGUUUCGAAAGGAACGCUAAUACCGCAUACGUCCUACGGGAGAAAGUGGGGGAUCUUCGGACCUCACGCUAUCAGAUGAGCCUAGGUCGGAUUAGCUAGUAGGUGAGGUAAUGGCUCACCUAGGCGACGAUCCGUAACUGGUCUGAGAGGAUGAUCAGUCACACUGGAACUGAGACACGGUCCAGACUCCUACGGGAGGCAGCAGUGGGGAAUAUUGGACAAUGGGCGAAAGCCUGAUCCAGCCAUGCCGCGUGUGUGAAGAAGGUCUUCGGAUUGUAAAGCACUUUAAGUUGGGAGGAAGGGCAGUAAGUUAAUACCUUGCUGUUUUGACGUUACCAACAGAAUAAGCACCGGCUAACUUCGUGCCAGCAGCCGCGGUAAUACGAAGGGUGCAAGCGUUAAUCGGAAUUACUGGGCGUAAAGCGCGCGUAGGUGGUUUGGUAAGAUGGAUGUGAAAUCCCCGGGCUCAACCUGGGAACUGCAUCCAUAACUGCCUGACUAGAGUACGGUAGAGGGUGGUGGAA
RNAcentral lists this ribosomal RNA (640 nucleotides) under Pseudomonas sp. RNAcentral describes it as "bacterial SSU rRNA". It matches the Rfam family "Bacterial small subunit ribosomal RNA", at positions 31 to 666 of the family's 1533-position model. Lineage: Bacteria; Pseudomonadati; Pseudomonadota; Gammaproteobacteria; Pseudomonadales; Pseudomonadaceae. The record is from RNAcentral.